This 60-nucleotide transfer RNA is filed under the name Actinomycetota bacterium. RNAcentral describes it as "tRNA-OTHER". Lineage: Bacteria; Bacillati; Actinomycetota. The record is from RNAcentral.
GCGGGCGAGGGCUACUUCAUUCGGAUGAGAUGGUCGCGGGUUCGACUCCCGCUGCCCGCC